AGUGAACGCUGGCGGUAGGCCUAACACAUGCGAGUCGAACGGCAGCACAGUAAGAGCUUGCUCUUACGGGUGGCGAGUGGCGGACGGGUGAGGAAUACAUCGGAAUCUACUUUUUCGUGGGGGAUAACGUAGGGAAACUUACGCUAAUACCGCAUACGACCUACGGGUGAAAGCAGGGGAUCUUCGGACCUUGCGCGAUUGAAUGAGCCGAUGUCGGAUUAGCUAGUUGGCGGGGUAAAGGCCCACCAAGGCGACGAUCCGUAGCUGGUCUGAGAGGAUGAUCAGCCACACUGGAACUGAGACACGGUCCAGACUCCUACGGGAGGCAGCAGAGGGGAAUAUUGGACAAUGGGCGCAAGCCUGAUCCAGCCAUACCGCGUGGGUGAAGAAGGCCUUCGGGUUGUAAAGCCCUUUUGUUGGGAAAGAAAAGCAGCAGGUUAAUACCCCGCUGUUCUGACGGUACCCAAAGAAUAAGCACCGGCUAACUUCGUG
RNAcentral lists this ribosomal RNA (492 nucleotides) under uncultured bacterium. RNAcentral's name for it is "partial 16S ribosomal RNA". It matches the Rfam family "Bacterial small subunit ribosomal RNA", at positions 29 to 507 of the family's 1533-position model. The record is from RNAcentral.